UUGCAUCUGUCUCUUAUACACACUCUGUGGAACCUCUGAACACUUGAAUUUAGUUUCGUUGUGAAAUUCAAAAAGCUCUACGACAAACCAGUUUACCAUAGCAAGAUAAUGUGCUACGUGUGUGUGCGUGUGAGAGAGAGAGAAAGCUUUACAUAGAUACAAGUACUCACGAAAGCAAAAGCUCUCUUUUUCUCUGAACGAGCUUUCGCAGACGUCAACGGGCAAUGAGGUUCUCCAAAUUGCAUAUGUGACGUCAGAGUCUUCACUUGCCUACACUUGACGAACAAUGGAUAUGCGGAAUGAUUUGUUACCUUACUACACUUUGCCCUGACCUCAAUGACCGGUUUCCUAGCCGGCCGGCAAUUUGUAUGAAAAAAUAAUGUAAAUAAAUAUCUAUAUAAGUA
Long non-coding RNA from Drosophila innubila, 404 nucleotides. RefSeq lists it as uncharacterized. Lineage: Eukaryota; Metazoa; Arthropoda; Insecta; Diptera; Drosophilidae. The transcript is spliced from 2 exons. The record is from RefSeq and is a predicted model, not a curated record.